This 378-nucleotide ribosomal RNA is filed under the name uncultured Flavobacterium sp. Its description in RNAcentral is "bacterial SSU rRNA". It matches the Rfam family "Bacterial small subunit ribosomal RNA", at positions 524 to 904 of the family's 1533-position model. Lineage: Bacteria; Pseudomonadati; Bacteroidota; Flavobacteriia; Flavobacteriales; Flavobacteriaceae. The record is from RNAcentral.
UACGGAGGGUGCAAGCGUUAUCCGGAUUCACUGGGUUUAAAGGGUGCGUAGGUGGGUUGGUAAGUCAGUGGUGAAAUCCCCGAGCUUAACUCGGGAACUGCCAUUGAUACUAUCAGUCUUGAAUACCGUGGAGGUCAGCAGAAUAUGUCAUGUAGCGGUGAAAUGCUUAGAUAUGACAUAGAAUACCAAUUGCGAAGGCAGCUGGCUACCCGAAUAUUGACACUGAGGCACGAAAGCGUGGGGAUCAAACAGGAUUAGAUACCCUGGUAGUCCACGCCCUAAACUAUGGAUACUCGACAUACGCGAUACACUGUGUGUGUCUGAGCGAAAGCAUUAAGUAUCCCACCUGGGAAGUACGACCGCAAGGUUGAAACUCAA